CCCCAGGCUGGGAGUGGCUGCCGGCCCCUCUGUGACUUGCACCUGGCCCGCAGCAGGCUGGGGAGGUGCUGCUGGCCCCACUGCUGAGCCGCCUCCCUCACCGCACCUCUGCUGCCCCUCCAAACCAGCCAAGGUCAGACCUUGAUCUGACCUGAUUAAGCGCUUGUUUAGUACAGGACAGACCCUCAAGGCUUAUGCUUAGGUAAUGGCCCUAAUGGACGCCCUGACGGACACGUCCGGGACCCAGGACCCGGAGACCAGGAAUCUGCAGGUCUCGGGGAGCGGCAGAACCUGAAACUCAAAAAUACCAGGCUUGAUCGCCUUCUCUUCGGUAGUUUAAGAACCAGGCUUUCUUUGGCAUUGUACACCUGCCAUGUGCAAGGCUGUGUCGUGCUCUGGGGAUUCAGCCUCUGUGCAAACUAUGACUCCAUACAGAUGAAGUCCAAGAACAGGCAAAACGCAUCGCAGAAGGACCCCCUGGAGCCCCUGGCAGGACACAUCUGAAAGCACGGAGCCAGACCUCUGCAGCCCCCUCCAGCGGGCAGGUUCUGCGGGCAGCCAUCUCCUCGCAGGCCAGAACACCCCACAUCACUCCAGGAGGGUUCACCACCUUUGAGAAGAGAGGACUCCAGUGUCUGUUCGCUCUGGAAAUGUGGGCAUGUUCCCAUUCCAAAGGUGAUAGGAUCUGAGGGGAGGAUCCUUCCCAUUUUCAAAGCCUCCCUAAAAUCCCACUGAGUAGUGGGGAGGAGUGCAAGUCUACCCUUUCCCCGAACCACCCA
RNAcentral lists this long non-coding RNA (779 nucleotides) under Pongo abelii (Sumatran orangutan). Its description in RNAcentral is "lincRNA". The record is from RNAcentral. Lineage: Eukaryota; Metazoa; Chordata; Mammalia; Primates; Hominidae.